UACGUAGGUGGCAAGCGUUGUCCGGAAUUAUUGGGCGUAAAGCGCGCGCAGGCGGUCCUUUAAGUCUGAUGUGAAAGCCCACGGCUCAACCGUGGAGGGUCAUUGGAAACUGGGGGACUUGAGUACAGAAGAGAAGAGUGGAAUUCCACGUGUAGCGGUGAAAUGCGUAGAGAUGUGGAGGAACACCAGUGGCGAAGGCGACUCGUGGGUCUGUAACUGACGCUGAGGAGCGAAAGCGUGGGGAGCAAACAGG
RNAcentral lists this ribosomal RNA (253 nucleotides) under uncultured bacterium. Its description in RNAcentral is "partial 16S ribosomal RNA". It matches the Rfam family "Bacterial small subunit ribosomal RNA", at positions 524 to 776 of the family's 1533-position model. The record is from RNAcentral.